RNAcentral lists this signal recognition particle RNA (312 nucleotides) under Methanomicrobiales archaeon. Its description in RNAcentral is "signal recognition particle sRNA". It matches the Rfam family "Archaeal signal recognition particle RNA". Lineage: Archaea; Methanobacteriati; Methanobacteriota; Methanomicrobia; Methanomicrobiales. The record is from RNAcentral.
AUGGGGACUAGCCCGGGUGGCUCGACGUCACCUGUUACCCGAAACCGCCGGUACGCGGGGGGCGAAGUCCGAGGACGGCUCGUGCGAUCCUUGGGAUACGGGGAUAUCCUGACGUAGAUACCUCGUCCCAUGAGGCCGGUGGACAGGGAUCAAAGCUUCGGAAGAAGUAGCGACCUGUUAUUGUGGAGAACGGUUCAGGCCCGGAAGGGAGCAGACUUACCAUGAACAUUCGGCGCCCACGGGGUAGCGGGGUGGAGAAGGGAGGUUUCCGCGAACUUGGAUGCGCUGUUCCAACCAAGGACAUGUCCCCAU